UACGUAGGUGGCAAGCGUUGUCCGGAAUUAUUGGGCGUAAAGCGCGCGCAGGCGGUCCUUUAAGUCUGAUGUGAAAGCCCACGGCUCAACCGUGGAGGGUCAUUGGAAACUGGGGGACUUGAGUGCAGGAGAGAAGAGUGGAAUUCCACGUGUAGCGGUGAAAUGCGUAGAGAUGUGGAGGAACACCAGUGGCGAAGGCGACUUUCUGGUCUGUAACUGACGCUGAGACGCGAAAGCGUGGGGAGCAAACAGG
RNAcentral lists this ribosomal RNA (253 nucleotides) under uncultured bacterium. RNAcentral's name for it is "partial 16S ribosomal RNA". It matches the Rfam family "Bacterial small subunit ribosomal RNA", at positions 524 to 776 of the family's 1533-position model. The record is from RNAcentral.